RNAcentral lists this non-coding RNA (218 nucleotides) under Klosneuvirus KNV1. The record is from RNAcentral. Lineage: Varidnaviria; Bamfordvirae; Nucleocytoviricota; Megaviricetes; Imitervirales; Mimiviridae.
CUGUGAAUUACUAUCACAGUAUGGACUGUACCUUAAGCUCGUAAGCCAAUAUCCAUCCAGUCUCUGAACCUAUUAUUGGCUGCGGAUUGACCAAAUGUUUGUAUUAUUACCGAAGUAACAAACAUGUUAGGUGUUUCCCGCAAUUUGGAUAUUUCGCAGAUGGUAAACCAUCUACUAGUUCCUAAGAACUUUCGCAGACUUUCGUUAAAUCUGCAUUG